RNAcentral lists this transfer RNA (84 nucleotides) under Echinostoma caproni. It matches the Rfam family "tRNA". Rfam says of the family: Transfer RNA (tRNA) molecules are approximately 80 nucleotides in length. Lineage: Eukaryota; Metazoa; Platyhelminthes; Trematoda; Plagiorchiida; Echinostomatidae. The record is from Rfam by way of RNAcentral.
GGCCUCGUAGCUCAGCUGGUAGAGCGCGCGCCGUACAAAAGUGCAGGCAGCGUCUAUGCGCGGGUUCUAACCCCACAGAGGCUA